Molecule: non-coding RNA, 30 nt
Filed under: Mus musculus (house mouse)
Lineage: Eukaryota; Metazoa; Chordata; Mammalia; Rodentia; Muridae
Source: RNAcentral
UCUUCAGUUGAUUUUGGAUUGUGGAUGUAC